Molecule: ribosomal RNA, 232 nt
Filed under: uncultured bacterium
Lineage: Bacteria
Description: partial 16S ribosomal RNA
Rfam family: Bacterial small subunit ribosomal RNA
Source: RNAcentral
CGGACGGGUGAGUAAUGUCUGGGAAACUGACUGAUGGAGGGGGAUAACUACUGGAAACGGUAGCUAAUACCGCAUAACGUCGCAAGACCAAAGAGGGGGACCUUCGGGCCUCUUGCCAUCGGAUGUGCCCAGAUGGGAUUAGCUAGUAGGUGGGGUAACGGCUCACCUAGGCGACGAUCCCUAGCUGGUCUGAGAGGAUGACCAGCCACACUGGAACUGAGACACGGUCCAG